RNAcentral lists this small RNA (520 nucleotides) under Paraphoma sp. B47-9. Its description in RNAcentral is "eukaryotic LSU rRNA". The stretch from base 182 to 335 matches the Rfam family "5.8S ribosomal RNA". The record is from RNAcentral. Lineage: Eukaryota; Fungi; Ascomycota; Dothideomycetes; Pleosporales; Phaeosphaeriaceae.
AAGGAUCAUUACCUUUCAAUGCAGCAGAAUUGGGAUGGUUGAGUAUCUCGCCUCUCCGUUCUGCCUGUAUUCUACCCUUGUUUGUCAUAUACUAUUAUUUCCUCGGCAGGCUUGCCUGCCGAGUGAAACCAUUUAUAACCUUUUUAAUUUUCAAUCAGCGUCUGAAAAAAUUAAUAAUUACAACUUUCAACAACGGAUCUCUUGGUUCUGGCAUCGAUGAAGAACGCAGCGAAAUGCGAUAAGUAGUGUGAAUUGCAGAAUUCAGUGAAUCAUCGAAUCUUUGAACGCACAUUGCGCCCCUUGGUAUUCCAUGGGGCAUGCCUGUUCGAGCGUCAUUUGUACCUUCAAGCUUUGCUUGGUGUUGGGUGUUUGUCCCGAGGGACUCGCCUUAAAGUAAUUGGCAGCCAGUGUUUGGUUUUGAAGCGCAGCACAAGUCGCGAUUCAAGGCUACACGCCCGCUUCCACAAGCCUUUUUUUCACUUUUGACCUCGGAUCAGGUAGGGAUACCCGCUGAACUUAA